This 69-nucleotide transfer RNA is filed under the name Paralepidocephalus yui. Its description in RNAcentral is "tRNA-Glu". It matches the Rfam family "tRNA". From Rfam's summary of the family: Transfer RNA (tRNA) molecules are approximately 80 nucleotides in length. The record is from RNAcentral. Lineage: Eukaryota; Metazoa; Chordata; Actinopteri; Cypriniformes; Cobitidae.
GUUCUCGUAGUUGAAUAACAACGGUGGUUCUUCAAGUCACUGGUCUCGGUUGGAAUCCGGGCGGGAAUU